GACGAACGCUGGCGGCGAGCUUAACACAUGCAAGUCGAACGGAAAGGCCCUGCUUUUGUGGGGUGCUCGAGUGGCGAACGGGUGAGUAACACGUAAGUAACCUGCCCUUGACUUUGGGAUAACUUCAGGAAACUGGGGCUAAUACCGGAUAGGAGCUCCUGCUGCUUGGUGGGGGUUGGAAAGUUUCGGCGGUUGGGGAUGGACUCGCGGCUUAUCAGCUUGUUGGUGGGGUAGUGGCUUACCAAGGCUUUGACGGGUAGCCGGCCUGAGUGGGUGACCGGCCACAUUGGGACUGAGAUACGGCCCAGACUCCUACGGGAGGCAGCAGUGGGGAAUAGUGCACAAUGGGCGGAAGCCUGAUGCAGCAACGCCGCGUGCGGGAUGACGGCCUUCGGGUUGUAAACCGCUUUCGCCUGUGACGAAGCGUGAGUGACGGUAAUGGGUAAAGAAGCACCGGCUAACUACGUG
RNAcentral lists this ribosomal RNA (468 nucleotides) under uncultured bacterium. Its description in RNAcentral is "partial 16S ribosomal RNA". It matches the Rfam family "Bacterial small subunit ribosomal RNA", at positions 28 to 507 of the family's 1533-position model. The record is from RNAcentral.